AUUCGCCGGAGAUGGCAAGUAAACUAGUGGUUCUGUGCGCAAUACUACACAAUAUCGCGGUAAGGAGUAGCGUAGAGCUUCCUCAGACAGAGGAAUUGCCUGAUGAGGAGCCAGGGGUUGUUCGACACUUCGGUGGGGGGAGUGUUACACGGAGGGGGAGCCAAGUCAGGGCAAGCAUUGUUGCUGAAUAUUUCAGCUGAAUGAUCACACAAACUGUGGACGAGAACAACGGCAGACCUCUCAGCCCCCUUCCCCUUCCCAGUCCCCCUCCCCUUCUCACUCCCCCUCCCCUUCGCAGUCCUCCUCAGCUUCCCAGUCCCCCUCAGCUACCCAGUCCCCCUCAGCUUCCCAGUCCCCCUCAGCUACCCAGUCCCCCUCAGCUUCCCAGUCCCCCUCAGCUUCCCAGUCCCCCUCAGCUUCCCAGGCCCACUCCACUUUCCACUCCCCUUCUCACACCACCUCUCUAUCUCUUUCUGUGACCCCUUCUCCUCCUUCCCAUACCCCUUCUCCUUCAACUUCAAACUCACCUUCUCAGCCCCCCUCACCCUCUAUUGGCUUAACUUUCUCUCCGCCCCCCUCGCCCUCUCAAUCAGACCCACCCUCUGAAAUUACAUCCCCAAUCCAGCCUCCUUCCCCCAUCCAGCCUCCUUCCCCCAUCCCUCCUCCUUCCCCCAUCCCUCCUCCUUCCCCAAUCCCUCCUCCUUCCCCAAUCCCUCCUCCUUCCCCCAUCCAGCCGCCUUCCCCCAUCCAGCCGCAUUCCCCACCCAGUGAGUGGGCAGAAG
Pseudophryne corroboree (corroboree frog) is the source of this 782-nucleotide long non-coding RNA. RefSeq lists it as uncharacterized. The transcript is spliced from 3 exons. The record is from RefSeq and is a predicted model, not a curated record. Lineage: Eukaryota; Metazoa; Chordata; Amphibia; Anura; Myobatrachidae.